GACGAACGCUGGCGGCGUGCUUAACACAUGCAAGUCGAACGGAAAGGCCCUGCUUUUGUGGGGUGCUCGAGUGGCGAACGGGUGAGCAACACGUGAGUAACCUGCCCUUGACUUUGGGAUAACUUCAGGAAACUGGGGCUAAUACCGGAUAGGAGCUCCUGCUGCAUGGUGGGGGUUGGAAAGUUUCGGCGGUUGGGGAUGGACUCGCGGCUUAUCAGCUUGUUGGUGGGGUAGUGGCUUACCAAGGCUUUGACGGGUAGCCGGCCUGAGAGGGUGACCGGCCACAUUGGGACUGAGAUACGGCCCAGACUUCUACGGGAGGCAGCAGUGGGGAAUAUUGCACAAUGGGCGGAAGCCUGAUGCAGCAACGCCGCGUGCGGGAUGACGGCCUUCGGGUUGUAAACCGCUUUCGCCUGUGACGAAGCGUGAGUGACGGUAAUGGGUAAAGAAGCACCGGCUAACUACGUG
Molecule: ribosomal RNA, 468 nt
Filed under: uncultured bacterium
Lineage: Bacteria
Description: partial 16S ribosomal RNA
Rfam family: Bacterial small subunit ribosomal RNA
Source: RNAcentral